UGUUCUCAAACACAAGAGGUCUGCCUGC
This 28-nucleotide non-coding RNA is filed under the name Rattus norvegicus (Norway rat). Lineage: Eukaryota; Metazoa; Chordata; Mammalia; Rodentia; Muridae. The record is from RNAcentral.